UAGGGAAUCUUCCGCAAUGGGCGAAAGCCUGACGGAGCAACGCCGCGUGAGUGAUGAAGGUCUUCGGAUCGUAAAACUCUGUUAUUAGGGAAGAACAAAUGUGUAAGCAACUAUGCACGUCUUGACGGUACCUAAUCAGAAAGCCACGGCUAACUACGUGCCAGCAGCCGCGGUAAUACGUAGGUGGCAAGCGUUAUCCGGAAUUAUUGGGCGUAAAGCGCGCGUAGGCGGUUUUUUAAGUCUGAUGUGAAAGCCCACGGCUCAACCGUGGAGGGUCAUUGGAAACUGGAAAACUUGAGUGCAGAAGAGGAAAGUGGAAUUCCAUGUGUAGCGGUGAAAUGCGCAGAGAUAUGGAGGAACACCAGUGGCGAAGGCGACUUUCUGGUCUAUAACUGACGCUGAUGUGCGAAAGCGUGGGGAUCAAACAGG
RNAcentral lists this ribosomal RNA (429 nucleotides) under Actinomycetes bacterium. RNAcentral describes it as "Actinobacteria bacterium partial 16S ribosomal RNA". It matches the Rfam family "Bacterial small subunit ribosomal RNA", at positions 355 to 776 of the family's 1533-position model. Lineage: Bacteria; Bacillati; Actinomycetota; Actinomycetes. The record is from RNAcentral.